This 373-nucleotide long non-coding RNA is filed under the name Linum usitatissimum (flax). RNAcentral's name for it is "long non-coding RNA (LUSI_LNC005712)". Lineage: Eukaryota; Viridiplantae; Streptophyta; Magnoliopsida; Malpighiales; Linaceae. The record is from RNAcentral.
AAUUAGAAAAGCUCCAUCGGAAAACAACCAUCCCAUCCUUAUAUAUUCCCCUAGGUAUAACCUAAUGAUAGCCAAAAAUCCUUCUUCAUACCCCCCCUUAAUAUCAUAUCCCCUUUCUUUCAAGCCUUCAUUUGAUCAUGUGUACAUUAGUGGCAUGUAACUCGGUCGAGUCUAGGAGUCAGAGUUGCUAAGUUUUGAAGAAUGCAGGAUUAUGUGGUCUCCCUUCUUCAGUUUGAUGUGUAUGUAAAAUCUCAAAAAAAAUGGGAAAAAUAGAAAUUUUUUGAAAAUCUAAAAAAAAACCAGUCUCGGGACAAGAAAAAUAAAAAAGUCGAAAAGAAGGCCAAAAAGUCUCGAGUUAGAUAAAAUAACGAGC